Misgurnus anguillicaudatus (oriental weatherfish) is the source of this 1716-nucleotide non-coding RNA. The record is from RefSeq and is a predicted model, not a curated record. NCBI's taxonomy places the organism in Eukaryota, Metazoa, Chordata, Actinopteri, Cypriniformes, Cobitidae.
AACGAGGUCGUUUACUUCGGUUAAUUAUUCAAAUUACUGAAAAACACGGAGAAAACCGCAACCGCAUUGCCAUGUGUUUUUCCAAGAUGUAUGCAAACAGGGGAAAUAUCACCAAACCAACAAUUCAUUUUACCAAAACCUCACUAUAUAUCAUCAUUUGUAUGCACAGAUUGCUGGAUUGGAUGCAUUGUGUGUUGUAAGCUUUUCGUGGCGCUAGAUGUCAGACAGAUGCAAAUGGCAAAUACAUACGAAAGUGUAAAACGUGUAUGGCGAACAUUUGUUUUUCUGUCAUUAACGUUAUAGAUGCUAGUUUGGUGAAAGUACACACUGAGUGCUUCAAAUCAUUCAGAAGAGAUGCUGUUUUUAAGGGCAGUUUAUUAAAGAAGACCUGACAUGGAUGACUUCCAAUGAGAAACGACUGCUAAUACUUAUAUAAAUUCAUUACAGAAGGACCCUACCAGACUAUAUUUGAAUACGGCAUACCCAUGAAUUCUGAACUGUUAUUCCUUAACCCAGUUUGGAGGAUAAGAGCUUACCAACUAGUUAUAAAUAUGCUGAGGUGAUGUAUUGCAAAAUAGCCAACAUACAACAAUUAAAGGAUAAUUGCAGACUACAUCCUGAUGAAGAUAUGGAUGACCCUCUGUCUGGUCAACAAUAGUUUAAAUAUGGACGGGACAGUGAUGUGGCAGCUCUUCCCUGGCUCAUUCACUUCUUGCCUUCAUUUGUGAAAGGAAGAAAGACUGGAGAGGGUCAAUGUGCAACUGAAGCUACUGAUUGUGCUGUGUGAUGAGCAUCAAUCCAUGCUUUGAGGUGGAUGGAUCAGCACAGCCCUGCCUGCUCUGCGUUGGGAACAGAAGUUGCAUCCAGAGUUUUUGCAUUAUUCUGGACCAAAAAGCCAUUCCCUGCAUGAUGAAGACCACUGAUGCAGCCUUCCACUACAUCAUAAGUAAAACAACUACAGAACUAAAUACCAGGUUGGAACGUGUUUAAGAAAAAUGAAAAGUCUUUUGAAUUGAAAUGUCUGUUUUGUUAUGGAAAAAUCUUUAGUAUUGUGAAGGAUAAGCAUUUCUGCCUGCCAGUAAGGUAAUUGCAGUGUAUUUUAAUAGUCAAGUUUUGAGUAGGGUGGCUAAUUUUUUUUAACUCUCAUUUGAUUUAUUAAAGACCUUAUAAUAAUUGGUUUUCAUGUCACUGCGCUGUGGUAUAAGAUAACUUUAAUUAUUUCAUACUGUAUUCCGUUUCUAAUUGUAGCUGAGGUAUUUAAAUAAGCAGUGUUAAAUGCAAAGUGUUGUGUGUAUCAAUGUAAAUAUUAAAUGUGAUGUACUUUAAUAAAAAGAGGUUUUGCAAUAUUUCUUGUCAUUUGUCUUUUAUAGAAACAACCCAUUAGCAACAAAAGUGGCUAUUAAUCAGUAUUUUAACACUUAACAUUGUUGAAUUCACAUUACACUGGUGUUGACAUUAAAUUAGGAGUGUUAAUUUUUAACACUGUAUUUGUGUGCCAACACCAGUGUAGUGUGGAAACAACAAUGAAUAGUGUUGAACAAAGUGUAAAAUUUAACAAUAUUGAGUGUUGAAUUAACAUUUAAUGGGUGUUGGCAAAUUAACACUACACUUUUGACUAAAUUAACACAGUGUAGUGUGGACACAUAUACACACUUUGCCAGUGUUAAAUUUGACACCGUGGGUGUUAUUUUAACACCAGUGAUUUUGCUGUGUAGG